Molecule: long non-coding RNA, 1509 nt
Filed under: Gallus gallus (chicken)
Lineage: Eukaryota; Metazoa; Chordata; Aves; Galliformes; Phasianidae
Description: lncRNA (ENSGALG00010016628.1)
Source: RNAcentral
CGUGAUGUAACUCUCUGGCAGGGAUGUCAAUGUAUUUGUAGCUUCGCUAAGCCUGGAGCUGAGAGAGCUAAUGAUUGCCUCAACUUCUGGUAAAGUGCAGUUCUAAGGGCAUUUUCAGCCUUCACUUCUUCCUACCCUCCCUUUUAAAAGAUUUCAAAACCAAGCCUUUAAUUUUCAGCAAGACCUUUUCAUGUGACCUUUAGAACAUAGCAAGGGUUAUUUUAACAGUAAAUCAACACAAGGUAGCGGGGUCCUUGGGCUGAAUUCUGGGGAUGUGUUCUCACAGUGAGAGCUGAGGUAUCCAUCACAGCGAGGAUGUCACCACUGUCCCACACAUCUACCCGUAAGACUUCCCAGUGUUCUGGGGGGGUUGUAGCAGCUCGUGACAAAUGGGAAUGGGAAGCCCUCUUCACUUCUACAGUUGUGGCAUGGAGUACUUUUAUGACAAAGAUCACUGGCAGCAGAGGAGCAGUCUGACAGAGUGGUGUCUGACAUGGAAGUGCAUGUGAAGCAACAGAGGGCCACUGAAUUCCUCCAUGCGGACAAAAAUGGCACCCAUUGGUAUUCAUCAACGUUUGCUGAACACUUAUGGUGACCAAACAGUGGAUAUCAGCACAGUGAGGUGGCGGUGGUGCGUUUCAGCGGUGGUGACAGUGUUGUGAAAGACAAGCCAUGUUCCGGAUGGCCAUGUACAACUGUCACAACAUGAAAUAAACAGCAUCUCAAUCAGAUCGUCCAUAUGAAUCAGCUACUGGUGGUGACUAUGUUGAAAAACAGUGUUUUGUAGCUGGGAAUUUAUUCUAUCAAAUAGUGUUAUUGUGCUCUUUGUUGUAGUUUCCAUUGAAAUAAAUAGGAGGCGUUGCUUUUGGAGCAACCUAUUUAUAUGAACAUACAAGAGGGUUUGGAUGGUGAUGGUGGUGUUGACUAACAGAAGGGAUUUUCUUUCUCUGAAAGAACAAGAUUAAAAAAUUGGAGCAAAUCUGCCUCCUUUACCUCAGAUCAGAAAAGAAUGGAAAACAGCAGGGUGGCCAAGGAUUUGUCCUGUAAAUGCUUAAGAUCUGUAUUGUUAGGAGCUGGUAUGUCCUUUUGGAGAAGAACACCCUUAGAAGGAGAUUUUUUAAAGGAUUUUUUUCCCCAUCUCUCUUCCCCCCCCCCCCCCCCACUACAAGAAGGGCAGAUGUAGACAUCCUGACAUAAAAUAACUUUAUAUCAGAAUAAGUCAUAUUAUCUAAUAUUGGAAACACCAUGCUGCUAUUAGCACUAUGCCUACAUGAUAAGGAAAGUGAGCCACUUCAUUUUUAUUGACCCUGCUAAAAUUGUACAGCUUUGUGAGGCUUUUGAUGGUAGCGAUUCAUUUCAUAAAAUCUAUGCCUACACAAACCAACCAUUUCAUCUCCACUGUGUUUUCUCAUUUCUAAUGCUUCUUGUAUUAACAAACACUGCUGAUGUGUGGGAGGUUCAAGAUGCUCAAACACAGAGAAGCACUCUGUGUAACUUCAGGGAAAAGGG